Molecule: unclassified non-coding RNA, 305 nt
Filed under: plant metagenome
Description: partial contains 5.8S ribosomal RNA, internal transcribed spacer 2, and large subunit ribosomal RNA
Rfam family: 5.8S ribosomal RNA (bases 1-105)
Source: RNAcentral
GAAAUGCGAUAAGUAAUGUGAAUUGCAGAAUUCAGUGAAUCAUCGAAUCUUUGAACGCACAUUGCGCCCGCCAGUAUUCUGGCGGGCAUGCCUGUUCGAGCGUCAUUUCAACCAUCAAGCCCCCGGCUUGUGUUGGGGACCUGAGGCUGCCCGCAGGCCCUGAAAAACAGUGGCGGGCUCGCUGUCACACCGAGCGUAGUAGCAUACAUUCUCGCUCAGGGCGUGCUGCGGGUUCCGGCCGUUAAACGACCUUCAUAACCCAAGGUUGACCUCGGAUCAGGUAGGAAGACCCGCUGAACUUAAGC